GAUGAACGCUGGCGGCGUGCUUAACACAUGCAAGUCGAACGGGAAAUAUUUCAUUGAGACUUCGGUGGAUCUGAUCUAUUUCUAGUGGCGGACGGGUGAGUAACGCGUGGGUAACCUGCCUUAUACAGGGGGAUAACAGUCAGAAAUGGCUGCUAAUACCGCAUAAGCGCACAGAGCUGCAUGGCUCAGUGUGAAAAACUCCGGUGGUAUAAGAUGGACCCGCGUUGGAUUAGCUAGUUGGUGGGGUAACGGCCCACCAAGGCGACGAUCCAUAGCCGGCCUGAGAGGGUGAACGGCCACAUUGGGACUGAGACACGGCCCAGACUCCUACGGGAGGCAGCAGUGGGGAAUAUUGCACAAUGGGGGAAACCCUGAUGCAGCGACGCCGCGUGAAGGAAGAAGUAUCUCGGUAUGUAAACUUCUAUCAGCAGGGAAGAUAGUGACGGU
Molecule: ribosomal RNA, 447 nt
Filed under: uncultured bacterium
Lineage: Bacteria
Description: bacterial SSU rRNA
Rfam family: Bacterial small subunit ribosomal RNA
Source: RNAcentral